Molecule: ribosomal RNA, 482 nt
Filed under: uncultured bacterium
Lineage: Bacteria
Description: bacterial SSU rRNA
Rfam family: Bacterial small subunit ribosomal RNA
Source: RNAcentral
CAGGCCUAACACAUGCAAGUCGAACGAUGACUCUCUAGCUUGCUAGAGAUGAUUAGUGGCGGACGGGUGAGUAACAUUUAGGAAUAUGCCUAGUAGUGGGGGAUAGCUCGGGGAAACUCGAAUUAAUACCGCAUACGACCUACGGGUGAAAGGGGGCGCAAGCUCUUGCUAUUAGAUGAGCCUAAAUCAGAUUAGCUAGUUGGUGGGGUAAAGGCCCACCAAGGCGACGAUCUGUAACUGGUCUGAGAGGAUGAUCAGUCACACCGGAACUGAGACACGGUCCGGACUCCUACGGGAGGCAGCAGUGGGGAAUAUUGGACAAUGGGGGCAACCCUGAUCCAGCCAUGCCGCGUGUGUGAAGAAGGCCUUUUGGUUGUAAAGCACUUUAAGCAGGGAGGAGAGGCUAAUGGUUAAUACCCAUUAGAUUAGACGUUACCUGCAGAAUAAGCACCGGCUAACUCUGUGCCAGCAGCCGCGGUAAU